UUGGAUAUCACAGCUACAAGCAUGCCCAGUGAUCUCAGCCAGUGAAUCAUGAAACACUACGACCUAGAAAAGUCUCAAAUUGUUAUACCAGAUAGAGGCAAAAUACCAGUAGAUGCAGAAAGUGUUAGGAGGAUAUGGGGUUUGCCCAAUAGUGGCAGGAAAGUAUGUUUUGAAAUGAAUCUAGAUUUAUAA
RNAcentral lists this ribosomal RNA (192 nucleotides) under Triticum aestivum (bread wheat). RNAcentral's name for it is "partial small subunit ribosomal RNA". The record is from RNAcentral. Lineage: Eukaryota; Viridiplantae; Streptophyta; Magnoliopsida; Poales; Poaceae.